This 153-nucleotide unclassified non-coding RNA is filed under the name uncultured Myxocephala. RNAcentral's name for it is "sequence contains ITS1". The record is from RNAcentral. Lineage: Eukaryota; Fungi; Ascomycota; Sordariomycetes.
CCGAGUUUACAACUCCCAAACCCAUGUGAACAUACCUGUCUUGUUGCUUCGGCGGCGCCCCUCGCCCUCACAGGCUGGGGCCCGCCAGAGGACCCAAAACAAACUCUUUGCAUUUGAAUACAGUAUUCUGAGUGGCAUGAUUAAAUAAAAUCA